Molecule: transfer RNA, 51 nt
Filed under: Quinchamalium chilense
Lineage: Eukaryota; Viridiplantae; Streptophyta; Magnoliopsida; Santalales; Schoepfiaceae
Description: partial tRNA-Leu
Source: RNAcentral
ACAAUAAAAUUUAUAGUAAAAGGAAAAUCCGUUGACUUUUUAAAUCGUGAG